UCAAGUGAAUAAGUGCAUCAGGCGGAUGCCUUGGCGAUGAUAGGCGACGAAGGACGUGUAAGCCUGCGAAAAGCGCGGGGGAGCUGGCAAUAAAGCUAUGAUUCCGCGAUGUCCGAAUGGGGAAACCCACUGCAUUCUGUGCAGUAUCCUAAGUUGAAUACAUAGGCUUAGAGAAGCGAACCCGGAGAACUGAACCAUCUAAGUACCCGGAGGAAAAGAAAUCAACCGAGAUUCCGCAAGUAGUGGCGAGCGAACGCGGAGGAGCCUGUACGUAAUAACUGUCGAGAUAGAAGAACAAGCUGGGAAGCUUGACCAUAGCGGGUGACAGUCCCGUAUUCGAAAUCUCAACAGCGGUACUAAGCGUACGAAAAGUAGGGCGGGACACGUGAAAUCCUGUCUGAAUAUGGGGGGACCAUCCUCCAAGGCUAAAUACUCAUCAUCGACCGAUAGUGAACCAGUACCGUGAGGGAAAGGCGAAAAGAACCCCGGGAGGGGAGUGAAACAGAACCUGAAACCUGAUGCAUACAAACAGUGGGAGCGCCCUAGUGGUGUGACUGCGUACCUUUUGUAUAAUGGGUCAACGACUUACAUUCAGUAGCGAGCUUAACCGGAUAGGGGAGGCGUAGGGAAACCGAGUCUUAAUAGGGCGAUGAGUUGCUGGGUGUAGACCCGAAACCGAGUGAUCUAUCCAUGGUCAGGUUGAAGGUGCCGUAACAGGUACUGGAGGACCGAACCCACGCAUGUUGCAAAAUGCGGGGAUGAGCUGUGGGUAGGGGUGAAAGGCUAAACAAACUCGGAGAUAGCUGGUUCUCCCCGAAAACUAUUUAGGUAGUGCCUCGAGCAAGACACUGAUGGGGGUAAAGCACUGUUAUGGCUAGGGGGUUAUUGCAACUUACCAACCCAUGGCAAACUCAGAAUACCAUCAAGUGGUUCCUCGGGAGACAGACAGCGGGUGCUAACGUCCGUUGUCAAGAGGGAAACAACCCAGACCGCCGGCUAAGGUCCCAAAUGAUAGAUUAAGUGGUAAACGAAGUGGGAAGGCACAGACAGCCAGGAUGUUGGCUUAGAAGCAGCCAUCAUUUAAAGAAAGCGUAAUAGCUCACUGGUCGAGUCGUCCUGCGCGGAAGAUGUAACGGGGCUCAAAUCUAUAACCGAAGCUGCGGAUGCCGGUUUACCGGCAUGGUAGGGGAGCGUUCUGUAGGCUGAUGAAGGUGCAUUGUAAAGUGUGCUGGAGGUAUCAGAAGUGCGAAUGUUGACAUGAGUAGCGAUAAAGCGGGUGAAAAGCCCGCUCGCCGAAAGCCCAAGGUUUCCUACGCAACGUUCAUCGGCGUAGGGUAAGUCGGCCCCUAAGGCGAGGCAGAAAUGCGUAGUCGAUGGGAAACAGGUUAAUAUUCCUGUACUUGAUUCAAAUGCGAUGUGGGGACGGAGAAGGUUAGGUUGGCAAGCUGUUGGAAUAGCUUGUUUAAGCCGGUAGGUGGAAGACUUAGGCAAAUCCGGGUUUUCUUAACACCGAGAAGUGAUGACGAGUGUCUACGGACACGAAGCAACCGAUACCACGCUUCCAGGAAAAGCCACUAAGCUUCAGUUUGAAUCGAACCGUACCGCAAACCGACACAGGUGGGCAGGAUGAGAAUUCUAAGGCGCUUGAGAGAACUCGGGAGAAGGAACUCGGCAAAUUGAUACCGUAACUUCGGGAGAAGGUAUGCCCUCUAAGGUUAAGGACUUGCUCCGUAAGCCCCGGAGGGUCGCAGAGAAUAGGUGGCUGCGACUGUUUAUUAAAAACACAGCACUCUGCCAACACGAAAGUGGACGUAUAGGGUGUGACGCCUGCCCGGUGCCGGAAGGUUAAUUGAAGAUGUGCAAGCAUCGGAUCGAAGCCCCGGUAAACGGCGGCCGUAACUAUAACGGUCCUAAGGUAGCGAAAUUCCUUGUCGGGUAAGUUCCGACCCGCACGAAUGGCGUAACGAUGGCCACACUGUCUCCUCCCGAGACUCAGCGAAGUUGAAGUGGUUGUGAAGAUGCAAUCUACCCGCUGCUAGACGGAAAGACCCCGUGAACCUUUACUGUAGCUUUGCAUUGGACUUUGAAGUCACUUGUGUAGGAUAGGUGGGAGGCUUGGAAGCAGAGACGCCAGUCUCUGUGGAGUCGUCCUUGAAAUACCACCCUGGUGUCUUUGAGGUUCUAACCCAGACCCGUCAUCCGGGUCGGGGACCGUGCAUGGUAGGCAGUUUGACUGGGGCGGUCUCCUCCCAAAGCGUAACGGAGGAGUUCGAAGGUUACCUAGGUCCGGUCGGAAAUCGGACUGAUAGUGCAAUGGCAAAAGGUAGCUUAACUGCGAGACCGACAAGUCGGGCAGGUGCGAAAGCAGGACAUAGUGAUCCGGUGGUUCUGUAUGGAAGGGCCAUCGCUCAACGGAUAAAAGGUACUCCGGGGAUAACAGGCUGAUUCCGCCCAAGAGUUCAUAUCGACGGCGGAGUUUGGCACCUCGAUGUCGGCUCAUCACAUCCUGGGGCUGUAGUCGGUCCCAAGGGUAUGGCUGUUCGCCAUUUAAAGUGGUACGUGAGCUGGGUUUAAAACGUCGUGAGACAGUUUGGUCCCUAUCUGCAGUGGGCGUUGGAAGUUUGACGGGGGCUGCUCCUAGUACGAGAGGACCGGAGUGGACGAACCUCUGGUGUACCGGUUGUAACGCCAGUUGCAUAGCCGGGUAGCUAAGUUCGGAAGAGAUAAGCGCUGAAAGCAUCUAAGCGCGAAACUCGCCUGAAGAUGAGACUUCCCUUGCGGUUUAACCGCACUAAAGGGUCGUUCGAGACCAGGACGUUGAUAGGUGGGGUGUGGAAGCGCGGUAACGCGUGAAGCUAACCCAUACUAAUUGCCCGUGAGGCUUGACUCU
This 2890-nucleotide ribosomal RNA is filed under the name Neisseria gonorrhoeae. RNAcentral's name for it is "bacterial LSU rRNA". It matches the Rfam family "Bacterial large subunit ribosomal RNA". RNAcentral also lists the same sequence under 1 other name. Lineage: Bacteria; Pseudomonadati; Pseudomonadota; Betaproteobacteria; Neisseriales; Neisseriaceae. The record is from RNAcentral.